This 866-nucleotide ribosomal RNA is filed under the name Textrix denticulata. Its description in RNAcentral is "SSU rRNA". It matches the Rfam family "Eukaryotic small subunit ribosomal RNA", at positions 52 to 916 of the family's 1831-position model. Lineage: Eukaryota; Metazoa; Arthropoda; Arachnida; Araneae; Agelenidae. The record is from RNAcentral.
UGCAUGUCUAAGUACAUGCCGUAUUAAGGCGAAACCGCGAAUGGCUCAUUAAAUCAGUCAUGGUUCCUUGGAUCGUACCUUACUACUUGGAUAACUGUGGCAAUUCUAGAGCUAAUACAUGCAGCAGAGCUCCGACCUUCCGGGAACGAGCGCUUUUAUUAGACCAAAACCAAUCGGACCUCGUGUCCGUCUCUUGUGGUGACUCUGUAUAACUUUGGGCUGAUCGCACGGGCCCGUCCCGGCGACGCAUCCUUCAAGUGUCUGCCUUAUCAACUUUCGAUGGUAGGUUACGCGCCUACCAUGGUCGUAACGGGUAACGGGGAAUCAGGGUUCGAUUCCGGAGAGGGAGCCUGAGAAACGGCUACCACAUCCAAGGAAGGCAGCAGGCGCGCAAAUUACCCACUCCCAGAACGGGGAGGUAGUGACGAAAAAUAACAAUACGGGACUCUUUUGAGACCCCGUAAUUGGAAUGAGUACACUCUAAACCCUUUAACGAGGACCCAUUGGAGGAUAAGUCUGGUGCCAGCACCCGCGGUAAUUCCAGCUCCAAUAGCGUAUAUUAAAGUUGUUGCGGUUAAAAAGCUCGUAGUUGGAUCUCAGUUCCAGACGGGUGGUCCUCCUACCGGAGGUUACUGCCUGUUCUGAACAGUCAGCCGGUUUCUCUUGAUGAUCUUCACCGGUUGUCUUGGGUGACCGGCAAGUUUACUUUGAAAAAAUUAGAGUGCUCAAAGCAGGCGUGACGCCUGAAUAAUGGUGCAUGGAAUAAUGGAAUAGGACCUCGGUUCUAUUUUGUUGGUUUUCGGAACACGAGGUAAUGAUUAAGAGGGACAGACGGGGGCAUUCGUAUUGCGACGCUAGAGGUGAAA